Molecule: ribosomal RNA, 471 nt
Filed under: uncultured cyanobacterium
Lineage: Bacteria; Bacillati; Cyanobacteriota
Description: bacterial SSU rRNA
Rfam family: Bacterial small subunit ribosomal RNA
Source: RNAcentral
AGAGUUUGAUCAUGGCUCAGGAUGAACGCUGGCGGUAUGCUUAACACAUGCAAGUCGAACGGGAUCUUCGGAUCUAGUGGCGGACGGGUGAGCUAACGCGUGAGAACAUGCCCUUAGGUUCGGGACAACAGUUGGAAACGACUGCUAAUACCGAAUGUGCCGAGAGGUGAAAGAUUAAUUGCCUAGGGAUUGGCUCGCGUCAGAUUAGCUAGUUGGUGGAGUAACGGUUUACCAAGGCGACGAUCUGUAACUGGUCUGAGAGGAUGACCAGUCACACUGGGACUGAGACACGGCCCAGACUCCUACGGGAGGCAGCAGUGGGGAAUUUUCCGCAAUGGGCGAAAGCCUGACGGAGCAAUACCGCGUGAGGGAGGAAGGCUUUUGGGUUGUAAACCUCCUUUAUCAGGGAAGAAGAUCUGGACGGUACCUGAAGAAUACCAUCGGGUUAACUCCGUGCCAGCAGCCGCGGUA